AGAUUGAACGCUGGCGGCGUGCCUAACACAUGCAAGUCGAGCGGUAACAGGUGUAGCAAUACAUGCUGACGAGCGGCGAACGGGUGAGUAAUGACUUUCGGAAUCUACCCACGGGUUGGGGAAUAACCAACCGAAAGGUUGGCUAAUACCGCAUAUGGCCCUACGGGGUAAAGCGGGGGAUCGUAAGACCUCGCGCUGGUGGAUGAGCCUACGUCCGAUUAGUUAGUUGGUGGGGUAAA
RNAcentral lists this ribosomal RNA (239 nucleotides) under uncultured prokaryote. RNAcentral's name for it is "partial 16S ribosomal RNA". It matches the Rfam family "Bacterial small subunit ribosomal RNA", at positions 26 to 261 of the family's 1533-position model. The record is from RNAcentral.